Long non-coding RNA from Loxodonta africana (African savanna elephant), 3027 nucleotides. RefSeq lists it as uncharacterized. The record is from RefSeq and is a predicted model, not a curated record. The transcript has 2 exons. NCBI's taxonomy places the organism in Eukaryota, Metazoa, Chordata, Mammalia, Proboscidea, Elephantidae.
CUCAACACACUUGUAAUGGCCACUCGAGGAAGACAACCAGAAAACCCCCAGUUACUGGGUCCUAGUCCUGGGUCCCUGAAUCUGAUGCCAGCACCUGGAACAACGCGUCCUUCACUGAUGGAGUGAACUUUGCUAGUACUGAUAAAAGCAUUUAGUAGAGUUGACAAGCACGUCCACAUCUAAAGCUGUGUUCAAUGAGACUUUCAGAAGAGAAAACUAACCUUGGGCUAAAGACAUCAUUUCACUGUAAACGGCUCCUGGAAUGACAGGAUUUGGCAAGUCCAGAAGAUAGCGUUUGAAAGCAUCUGCUAAAACGUGCACAUCGAUCAUUUCCCAGUCCACGGAGGUGACAUCUGUAAAAGCAAAUAAAAACAAAUUUUUUUUUCAGACAUUUUAUUGGGUCCGUUUAUUUCCUGAAUGUUUUAUAUAAUGUGAUACAGGAAAGGAAAAAACACUGUCUGGAGGGUGGUUCUGCUCUGUUUUAGAAGGGUUCUGUGAAGGGGGUGGGUUAACAAGAUAGUCAAUGUUGCCUAAAACCUCAACAGGAAAAUGACAAAUGCAAAUUCCUAGAUUUCUGAAACCUUCAGUUGAUAAAUAUUGCCUCUCAAAAUUAAUGCAAAUUUUACCCAACAGAAUGACUAAUUAAGCAUUAAGCUAUUACAGAAUUUUUGCAAUCAAUUUCAAGAAUAAAUAUCUGUAAAAAUAAUUUUAACAUUUUCAGAAUUUCCCCCAUCAAUUUUGACUGGGUCAUUAGUAAUCUAACUGAAUUAUCUCAGAAGAAAGAUAUGAGCAUGCCUGCCCAGUAAACUCCUCAGCUGCAAAAAGGCCAAGCAAUUCAAUAAUGGGUGACGCUACCCAAAAACAGCCUCUGAGCACUCUCCAGCGGUAAGGCGCUUUGAGUACUUGGGACAGAAAAAGGCACAGGGCCAGACAGAAAGAAGGGAUUGGGAACAAAGAUCUGGAGACAGGAAUGACCACGGGCAUCUAAGACACCAGGAGAGGGAGACGCUGGUGCAGAAGGGUGUACACUAGGAAUGAGAAAGAUAAUCUGAAGAAAAUUAUCAGAGGACUCAAGUGUACUCAACAGAAAAAAGGUAGGCUGAUGGACAAAACACAACAUUUUAAACAGCCUUGCUAAGUUGAAAAUGAGUUGUUAUGGAUUGAACUAUGUCCCCCCAAAAUAUGUGUGGUAAAUCCUAAUCUCAAUACCUGUGGUUGGAGCCCUGGUGGCUUAGUGGUUAAGAGUUUGGCUGCUAACCAUAAGGUCGGCAGUUGGAAUCCACCGGCCACUCCUUGGAAACGGUAUGGGACAGGUCUAUUCUGUUCUAUAGGGUCACUGUAAGUCAGAAUGGACUUGAAGGCAAUGGUUUUACACCUAUGGUUAUAAUCUCACUUGGGAAAGGGUUUUCUGUGUUAUAUUAACAAUGAGGCAGUAUUAGUGUAGGGUGGGCCUUAAAUCAAUCUCUUUUGAGAUUUAAAAAGAGGAGAUCGAGCAAGCAAGUACAGUUAGGGGAAGACAGAUACCAUGCCACAUGAGGAUCACCAUGAUCGCUAAGGAAGAGAGGCUGAAAAGAGAUAAGGACCUUCCCUCAGAGCCAAAAGAGAGAAAGAAAGACUUUUCCUAGGGCCAGCACCCUGAAUUCAGACUUCUAGCCUCCUCAACUGCGAGGAAAUAAAUUUUAGUUUGUUACAGCCACGCACUUGUGAUUUCUGUUAGCAGCACUAGAUAACUAAGACAGGAGUGAUGCCGAAAGUUGAAAUACCAGUUUUAAUCAUCUGAAGCCUCUGACUUCUAAUGAAGUAAGAAAGGUUCAAGGCAUUAUCAAGAGUGGGGAUUGACUGGAUUGGCUAGAGGUCAAGGAGAGAAUGAGGAAGAAUCAAAGCUUACUCCAAGGUGUCUGAGCACGAGUAAAUGGAAGACAUGGCAACGAUUAGGAGAACGGUAGAGGACUGGGCAGUGUUCUGUUUUGUUGCACACAGGGUCGCUAUGAGUCGGAACCAACUAAGUGACACCUAGCAACAACACAACACGUAGAAGAAAGUGGUAUCCUGGAUACCCACAAGUUGAACGUGAUAUUAUAAAUCACUCCAGGUUGAGAUGGAGCUACAAAAAUUCCCUAGACAUAUCAUUAUUAUAAACCAAACUUGCCUGCCUCACUAACUAGGCAGAUUUUAUAAAAGCUAAUCACUUACACAACCCCACCAAGCUCUGAGAAAAUUCAGUUUGACAUAAAAUGUGGGUAGAUCAUUUUGAGGAAAAGAAUUGUUAAAGGUAAACAGGCAAAAGGUUAAACCACUUAAAUGUCCUACAAAGAACUAACCAGGGACACAUCACAUUUGCAACAAGUUUGAAAAGGGCGCGGAAUGGCUGGUGGGUUUGAAUCAGCCGACCUUUUGGUUAGCAGCCAAGUGCUUUGACCACUGCACCACCAGGACCCACUGGUCUCUUAUAUACUUCAUUUAAUACAUCUGUAUGCCCAACAAAUAAAUAUUACUUAAUUAAUAAACAAAACAAAAGCAAAAAACACUUGCCAUCAAGUUGGUUUCAACUCAUGGCGACCCCAUGUGUUUCAGAGUAGAACUGUGCUCCACAGGGUUUUCAACAGCUGUAAGCUUUUGCAAGAUUGCCAGGCCUUUCUUUCAAGGUGCCUCUGGGUAGAUUUGAAUAAUCAACUUUUCAGUUAAUAGCCAAGAGCUUAACAGUUUGCACUACCCAGGGACUCCCGGUUUAUAAAUGUUAAGAUACUAUAAAUUCCACAUGUUCCUUCCUCAGGCAGAGUUCCCGCUGCCUUCUCCGUGUUCUUGGACUGCUGAGCUACAAUUCUACCAGGCCACUUCCCAGCAGUAUGAUAAUUAGGCAGGAUCAGCACCUCCUACUAGACUAAGGCUACCUUGGGGCAAGGUCUGUGGCUCUCCCCUGCUCUUCUUGUAUCCCUCAAUGCACUGCACAUAAAACAUGCUUGUUUAAUGUUUGCAGCAUGAACUAUAAAACCUCUAGAAAAAAAAAAAACCCAGUACCUCUAGAGA